RNAcentral lists this ribosomal RNA (400 nucleotides) under uncultured bacterium. RNAcentral's name for it is "bacterial SSU rRNA". It matches the Rfam family "Bacterial small subunit ribosomal RNA", at positions 355 to 770 of the family's 1533-position model. The record is from RNAcentral.
UCAAGAAUAUUCCUCAAUGGACGAAAGUCUGAAGGAGCGACGCCGCGUGCAUGAUGAAGUCCCUCGGGACGUAAAGUGCUUUUAUUUGGGAAGAAACAAUGACGGUACCAAAUGAAUAAGGAGCCGCUAACCUCGUGCCAGCAGCGGCGGUAAUACGAGGGCUCCAAGCGUUAUCCGGAUUUAUUGGGCGUAAAGGGUCCGUAGGUGGUUGGUCGCAUCUUCUGUCAAAUUCCAGGGCUUAACCCUGGAGCCGCGGAAGAGAUGGGCCGACUAGAGGACGGGAGAGGUAAGCGGAAUUGCUGGUGUAGGGGUUAAAUCCGUUAAUAUCAGCAGGAACACCGAAUGCGUAGGCAGCUUACUGGAACGUACCUGACACUGAGGGACGAAAGCGUGGGGAGCG